Molecule: non-coding RNA, 64 nt
Organism: Mercenaria mercenaria
Lineage: Eukaryota; Metazoa; Mollusca; Bivalvia; Venerida; Veneridae
Source: the annotation of a RefSeq genome assembly
UUUUUUAUAGUGUAAAAAACACAUCAAUUUUUCGUGUUGAAGAUGGGUCUGAUCUCUGAAGUUU